This is a long non-coding RNA of Dermochelys coriacea (leatherback sea turtle), 2855 nucleotides long. RefSeq lists it as uncharacterized. Lineage: Eukaryota; Metazoa; Chordata; Testudines; Dermochelyidae. The transcript is spliced from 5 exons. The record is from RefSeq and is a predicted model, not a curated record.
GGCUUGGUGGAUCAUUCAGGAGCUCAAGGUAAAACCAGAGAACUCUGCAGAGAUAGUUUGCUAGCAAUUACAUGGAGGAUUUCCUUAACAUAGGAGGGUUUUGUAUGACUGGAUGUGUUUUUAAAAGAUACACAGUAAUUCAAACAGAAGUUAUGGGCUUGAUGCAGAAAUUACUGGACCGAGCCCCUGUUUCUCUUGUGAACCAAAGUGGUCUUCCUAAUUUGAGUGCUGGCUGACUGUGUCCACUCCUAAUUAAAGGCAUGUGCUGGUUCAAGGGGAUUAGAAAACAGAUCUCAUGACCAACAGUGGGUUACUCAGAUCCAGAUAACUCUUGCAUCCAAGAGUUUUAAAAGAGCUGGCUGGGGAACUUGCCGAACUGUUCCUGUUAAUUUUCAAAAAGUCUUGGAAAACUGGGGAAGUUCCAGAAGAUUGGAAGAAAUCUAAUAUUGUGCCAAUAUUUAAAAAUUGUGAACAGGAUGACUCGGAUCCAUCAUCCAUCUUUAUCCGUCACCCAGAAGCCACAGCCUUGGUACUUGAAUGACAUAACUGCAAGCAAAUAUCAUUGCAAGCUUCAUUCUUGAUCUGUGUGCCAUCUACAGGACAGAUUUGGUAGUUCUUUGAGUAAACAUUGACAGUGGGAUCUGAGAAGUCAUGUGAAUUCAUGGGCAGUACCUACUUUGGUUAUGAUUUUUGUAAUUCGCUCACCCCUGCUGUAAACCUUUCCAGAGAAGUUUGCAGACAACUAAUGUUUGAGUCUUGGUGGCUUGUAGGUCAACUCUUGGAACCAUUUGUCAAUAAUGAAGCACUGCUUCUUUGAAAUCAGCAUGCACAUACUUGAAACCAGCCAACUGAAAAUCCGGAGUGGAUAAUGCUUCCCCAUGUUAUCAUCUACAAUGUACCUGGUCUUAACCCCAAAGUGAAGUUGAGAAAAAAGCAUCAUCUCAGAUUUUUAAAAACUAGACUGGUCAAAGCUUAGAAAUCAUUCAGUAAAGCACCAACCUGCACUGGUAGGGAGAAUGGUCGAAUGCCAUAAGAGGGCUUUUCCUCCUCUCCUCCCCACCUUACUUAUAUGAUGCCCUUUGUUUACUUUUUCCACACCGGUCAAUUUCGCUUUGUAGUCCAUAUCACUCUCUAGUUCUCAUGUGCUACAUAAAGAUGUCGUUUGGGUUACCCAAACUACUAAAGAAUACUUACAUUGAUGUUUUUGGAUUUUAAAUUAUUAUUUUUAUUUGAAUGUGUAACCCCUUUUAUUUUUCUAAAAAACUAAAACCUUGUGCCUGAUCUACAGUACUUGUGCCAGUAUUGCCUCUUUUUAUUACUGUAUUGAAUUAGCUAAUUAUACAGCUGUCAUUGUAAUAUGCUUGAAGUAUAACCCAGUGACCUGUUACUUGAACUAUCACACUAUCUUGUACCUUGAUGCAAAGAAUGAGCUAUAAAAGAAUAACAUUACUGUACUGUAUUAGGUGACCGUGGUGCAAUACCUAUGAGAUGCAAUGAACAAGAUAAACGUGACUGGGUUCAUUAAUAUGUAUGAAUUAAAUAUUUGUUAACAUUAAGUCUCACUAUGAUCAUGCUUCAAACUAAUUGUAUAGUUAUCAGUUCUUACCAGUAUAGAUAAUACCAAGUCAGGCUGUUGUUUUUCAGCCCAUCAAAGACAGAACAAUGGGAAAUAGAAAAGGAAAAUUUAAAACUGGGUAAGUUUUGUCACUUGGAAACAAAGCUGUGUCUACUUAUAUAGACGUAGAUAUUUAAUACUGUGGAGAAGGAAUAGUUAUAUAAAUUGAUAGUAUAUGCAAUAAAAUAAUAUCUUGAUUUUUUUCUUAUUAUCUUUGUCACAAAAUAUGGUGAGAUGAGAUUCACCAUUUGUAUAAAAUGAUGAGGUUAGUGCCUUUCUGCAGUUCAGAUCAGCUGAGGAUCUGGCCUGUGGUUUCUUAAUGUCAUGUACUGCAACAAAUGAACCUAUCAAAUAGUGGUAAUUACUCUUUGUAGAAUUUUAAUAAAUAAAUAAAUAAAUGGCUUUUUUUUUUCAUUUUGGUAGAAAAAUCUGAUGUGAAUCUUUAAAAACAAUUUCUGACUUUCAUUAUGGAUAGUAAAUAUCAUAAUUGGAGCUAGCCAAAAUGUUUCCAUCAAAGUUAUUGUUAAUGUUAAACUGGGUUUUUUUGAUGUCAUGCAAAUUUCUGCUGAAAGUGUCUGCUUUCCUCAAACUUCUGAUGAUUUUUUUUUCUUUCAUUAGAAACCCAAAAAUGGCUUUAUUCAGCUGGAUAGUCAAAAUUUUCCUGGGGGAGGGAGCCCAUUUUAUGACCACUGUAGGCACAAUUAUGUUAACAGUUUUUCAUAUAAAUAAAGUGUAGUAUCCUAAGAAACUUUAUUUUAUUGAUAUUGACUACCCAAAGUAGUGAGAUAAAGGCUAAAAUUACCAGAUGAGGACAGGGUGGUUUUGGGAACCUGCUAUGAGAUGAAAUAAUUUUACACACUGAGACCUACUAGUUUAAACCAAUCUGAAGUCCAUAUUGACUUGCAUUUGUUCCCAUUUGAAGACAUUUCAGUGUCCUAUCUUAAAUGAGUGAAUAGUUCUAGCCCAAUUUGAUUGACAAGUGUCUACACAAUGUAAGCCACCAUUUCAAGCUGCAUCUAUGACAGAGAAGCCAAGACUUCAAUAAGCAUUAAUAAGGAUCUCCCCUUUCCCACUAAAUCCUCAUUCCAUGUUAGAACUGAGAUAUGCUGGUAGCACAGUUGCCAACUUUCACACGAUACAUAAGCACUCUGAUUUUCACAAUAAGCCAAAAAUCAUGCUAAUCCCAUUUCAAAACAAGGCCAAAACAAACCAAUCCCAAAGAACUCCAACACUCUGACUA